RNAcentral lists this ribosomal RNA (492 nucleotides) under uncultured bacterium. Its description in RNAcentral is "partial 16S ribosomal RNA". It matches the Rfam family "Bacterial small subunit ribosomal RNA", at positions 29 to 507 of the family's 1533-position model. The record is from RNAcentral.
AGUGAACGCUGGCGGUAGGCCUAACACAUGCAAGUCGAACGGCAGCACAGUAAGAGCUUGCUCUUACGGGUGGCGAGUGGCGGACGGGUGAGGAAUACAUCGGAAUCUACUUUUUCGUGGGGGAUAACGUAGGGAAACUUACGCUAAUACCGCAUACGACCUACGGGUGAAAGCAGGGGAUCUUCGGACCUUGCGCGAUUGAAUGAGCCGAUGUCGGAUUAGCUAGUUGGCGGGGUAGAGGCCCACCAAGGCGACGAUCCGUAGCUGGUCUGAGAGGAUGAUCAGCCACACUGGAACUGAGACACGGUCCAGACUCCUACGGGAGGCAGCAGUGGGGAAUAUUGGACAAUGGGCGCAAGCCUGAUCCAGCCAUACCGCGUGGGUGAAGAAGGCCUUCGGGUUGUAAAGCCCUUUUGUUGGGAAAGAAAAGCAGCAGGUUAAUACCCCACUGUUCUGACGGUACCCAAAGAAUAAGCACCGGCUAACUUCGUG